Molecule: ribosomal RNA, 210 nt
Filed under: uncultured bacterium
Lineage: Bacteria
Description: partial 16S ribosomal RNA
Rfam family: Bacterial small subunit ribosomal RNA
Source: RNAcentral
GACGAACGCUGGCGGCGUGCUUAACACAUGCAAGUCGAGCGGUAAGGCCCUUUCGGGGUACACGAGCGGCGAACGGUGAGUAACACGUGGGUGACCUGCCCUCAGCUCUGGGAUAAGCCUGGGAAACCGGGUCUAAUACCGGAUAUGACUCCAUGACGCAUGUUGUGGGGUGGAAAGCCUUGUGCGGCUGAGGAUGGGCCCGCGGCCUAU